Long non-coding RNA from Alosa alosa (allis shad), 399 nucleotides. RefSeq lists it as uncharacterized. The transcript has 3 exons. NCBI's taxonomy places the organism in Eukaryota, Metazoa, Chordata, Actinopteri, Clupeiformes, Clupeidae. The record is from RefSeq and is a predicted model, not a curated record.
CUGCUGUGUGUGCGUAGGAAGGGAGGAGAUCAUGGCUGCCAUUGACCAGAAUUAUACCAUUGGCUUGUUGAGAGCUUGCAACCUGAAAGCACUUGUGUACUUAAAUGAAGGCUCUGAGAAACUCAUAAAGGAAUACCUGGACGCGGACUGAUGCCCAGAGCCAGAUGGAGAAAACCACCAUCGGGAUCUUUCUAAUCAAACAUGAGGGUGCCAAUGCCUCCACUAGAAGAUGUAGACAUUAUAGUUGAAUCACUAACAAUGUAACAAAACUAAACAUGCUGUGUUUAGCAGACAUAUUUUUCUGUUCAUUGCAUUUCUAUUUUACUAAAAAAUGUCCCUGAUGGAUUGAUGAGAAUGGAGACAAAGGUUGCUGCUAAAUAAAUGCAGAUUUGUUUUGAA